RNAcentral lists this ribosomal RNA (1087 nucleotides) under Pantoea vagans. Its description in RNAcentral is "bacterial SSU rRNA". It matches the Rfam family "Bacterial small subunit ribosomal RNA", at positions 404 to 1533 of the family's 1533-position model. The record is from RNAcentral. Lineage: Bacteria; Pseudomonadati; Pseudomonadota; Gammaproteobacteria; Enterobacterales; Erwiniaceae.
UAUAAAGAAAGGCCUUCAGGGUUGUUAAAGUACUUUCAGGCGGGGAGGAAGGGGAUGGGGUUAUUAACCCAUACGAUUGACGUUACCCGCAGAAGAAGCACCGGCUAAUUUCGUGCCGGCAGCCGCGGUAAUACGGAGGGUGCCAGCGUUAUUCGGAAUUACUGGGAGUAAAGCGCACGCAGGCGGUCUGUUAAGUCAGAUGUGAAUCCCCGGGCUUAACCUGGGAACUGCAUUUGAAACUGGCAGGCUUGAGUCUUGUAGAGGGGGUAGAAUUCCAGGUGUAGCGGUGAAAUGCGUAGAGAUCGGGAGGAAUACCGGGUGGCGAAGGCGGCCCCCUGGACAAAGACUGACGCUCAGGUGCGAAAGCGUGGGGAGCAAACAGGAUUAGAUACCCUGGUAGUCCACGCCGUAAACGAUGUCGACUUGGAGGUUGUUCCCUUGAGGAGUGGCUUCCGGAGCUAACGCGUUAAGUCGACCGCCUGGGGAGUACGGCCGCAAGGUUAAAACUCAAAUGAAUUGACGGGGGCCCGCACAAGCGGUGGAGCAUGUGGUUUAAUUCGAUGCAACGCGAAGAACCUUACCUACUCUUGACAUCCAGCGAACUUAGCAGAGAUGCUUUGGUGCCUUCGGGAACGCUGAGACAGGUGCUGCAUGGCUGUCGUCAGCUCGUGUUGUGAAAUGUUGGGUUAAGUCCUGCAACGAGCGCAACCGUUAUCCUUUGUUGCAGCGAUUCGGUCGGGAACUCAAAGGAGACUGCCGGUGAUAAACCGGAGGAAGGUGGGGAUGACGUCAAGUCAUCAUGGCCCUUACGAGUAGGGCUACACACCCAAACAAUGGCUCAGAGUUUGAGCCUGGAUCUGGCGUUAGCUAUUCCUCCUCCGGUGCGCCGUAUCUGUCGGAUUCUGGGUGUCUGAUAAUCUGAUGCACCAGGAGGAUGUCGCCUUACCUUUGAUCUGGUCAGCCUUUUCGAUCCUCAAAUCAUCUCCUCACAUACCCCAAAGCCCCCGAAGCAUUUGCACCGAAGAGAAUUAGGUCACUGCACAUAUGGUAUCGCGCAGAAAAGCACUGCAGCGACUGGGUUCACUCG